This 800-nucleotide ribosomal RNA is filed under the name Bacillus sp. (in: firmicutes). Its description in RNAcentral is "bacterial SSU rRNA". It matches the Rfam family "Bacterial small subunit ribosomal RNA", at positions 72 to 856 of the family's 1533-position model. Lineage: Bacteria; Bacillati; Bacillota; Bacilli; Caryophanales; Bacillaceae. The record is from RNAcentral.
AAGGGAGCUUGCUCCCGGAUGUUAGCGGCGGACGGGUGAGUAACACGUGGGUAACCUGCCUGUAAGACUGGGAUAACUCCGGGAAACCGGAGCUAAUACCGGAUAGUUCCUUGAACCGCAUGGUUCAAGGAUGAAAGACGGUUUCGGCUGUCACUUACAGAUGGACCCGCGGCGCAUUAGCUAGUUGGUGGGGUAAUGGCUCACCAAGGCGACGAUGCGUAGCCGACCUGAGAGGGUGAUCGGCCACACUGGGACUGAGACACGGCCCAGACUCCUACGGGAGGCAGCAGUAGGGAAUCUUCCGCAAUGGACGAAAGUCUGACGGAGCAACGCCGCGUGAGUGAUGAAGGUUUUCGGAUCGUAAAGCUCUGUUGUUAGGGAAGAACAAGUGCGAGAGUAACUGCUCGCACCUUGACGGUACCUAACCAGAAAGCCACGGCUAACUACGUGCCAGCAGCCGCGGUAAUACGUAGGUGGCAAGCGUUGUCCGGAAUUAUUGGGCGUAAAGGGCUCGCAGGCGGUUUCUUAAGUCUGAUGUGAAAGCCCCCGGCUCAACCGGGGAGGGUCAUUGGAAACUGGGAAACUUGAGUGCAGAAGAGGAGAGUGGAAUUCCACGUGUAGCGGUGAAAUGCGUAGAGAUGUGGAGGAACACCAGUGGCGAAGGCGACUCUCUGGUCUGUAACUGACGCUGAGGAGCGAAAGCGUGGGGAGCGAACAGGAUUAGAUACCCUGGUAGUCCACGCCGUAAACGAUGAGUGCUAAGUGUUAGGGGGUUUCCGCCCCUUAGUGCUGCAGCUAAC